AUGGAGAGUGCGUGCUUUGGAUUCAAGACUGGGAAUGAGGGGACCAGAAACCUAUUCUGUGGCUGUUUCUUGUUAGGACUUUCCUAAGCCUCUGGAAAAGUGCAAAGUACAAUUAACAUUUGAGUCUGUCUGAGUCAUGAAGAAAUGGAGAUUACUGAAAAUAAUUCAUUUUGGUAUCUUCUUACAUCCUGAGAGACUAAUCUUUCCAAGUUCAUCUGAGGCUCCUCUUCUCCAUGACAACCUCAUCCAGGGAUUUCUUCCUGUCCUGGUGUUUUAUGACAUCAUCCUCAUCUCGCUUGUAAGGAUAAUAGCCUUCCUCCAAACCUCACACACUUUUGGAGGAGAUCACUUUUUUUAAAGUGCAUGGAAAUGUUUUGAAACAGUGAAAUCUAUAAUGAUAGGUUUCAUAAUUCUAACAUCCACACCAUAUGAAUCACAUCCUUCCUGAGAUAAUGAGCACACAAUUGCCUGGAUACCUGAAGGAAUGGAGACAGCCGCAGAAAACACUGCAGAGAGGUGGAAACAUCCGUUAAUAUUUUAAAAUCCCAUUACUGCUACCAACAAUAAUAAUGGAUGCAUAGAAAUAGAUCUGGAUUAGCUGAGCUUGAAACAGUCCAUCUCACACACACGCAAAAGAAUUUCAGAUACAGUGAACCCACACGUUGAAGCUUUCUAGUAUAAUAAAAAUUUCAACUGUUCUGUUGAAUCAUCUGCCUGAUUGGAGGCUACAGAAAAGAUGUCAUCUUAGGAGUGCUUGCUCUGAGUGAGGCUCAUCUUCAAAUCUGAAUGACCACAAGGAGAUUUGAUUAUACAUGUGAACACCUCUGAAGGCACAGCCCGCCCAGAAGGCAGACAG
Molecule: long non-coding RNA, 856 nt
Filed under: Pan troglodytes (chimpanzee)
Lineage: Eukaryota; Metazoa; Chordata; Mammalia; Primates; Hominidae
Description: lincRNA
Source: RNAcentral